GAGCAAUGAUGAAGAGGUUUUCAUACUGACUUUUACAACUAUGAAAGUUUCUACACUUGAUCUGAGCUCA
This is a small nucleolar RNA of Suricata suricatta (meerkat), 70 nucleotides long. The record is from Ensembl. NCBI's taxonomy places the organism in Eukaryota, Metazoa, Chordata, Mammalia, Carnivora, Herpestidae.